Molecule: non-coding RNA, 104 nt
Organism: Mesocricetus auratus (golden hamster)
Lineage: Eukaryota; Metazoa; Chordata; Mammalia; Rodentia; Cricetidae
Source: Rfam
GUCUGUAGUACUCAGCUGCGUACAUCUGUAAUUGGCGGUAGGGGAGGAACCGACGGGUUCGUAACCCCCCCCCCACUGAGGCUCCGGGAGACGUCCCAGGAGUG